This is a long non-coding RNA of Peromyscus leucopus (white-footed mouse), 283 nucleotides long. RefSeq lists it as uncharacterized. The transcript has 2 exons. The record is from RefSeq and is a predicted model, not a curated record. Lineage: Eukaryota; Metazoa; Chordata; Mammalia; Rodentia; Cricetidae.
GUGGUGGGGAGAUGGGAGUGAAGACCGGCUUUCUAAUACCAUCUCCAGUCCCAACGAUCCCACCCAUCUCUGCAAGUGGAGCAAGCCUGUCGCUGGCUUCUCUACUCAGCCUUCUUCAUCCCUACGGAACAUGGCCCCCAGGUACUGGAGUUCAGUCUUCCCCGCCUCCACUCUUAACCCCACGUCUGGUUCCUGAUCAGAAAGUAUGGCAGCUAUAGUCAUGAGACAAUCUUCACAGAGUCAAAAUAUCCAUAAAGGAUUUCAUUGCUCUUCUGACACACGG